Molecule: non-coding RNA, 22 nt
Filed under: Arabidopsis thaliana (thale cress)
Lineage: Eukaryota; Viridiplantae; Streptophyta; Magnoliopsida; Brassicales; Brassicaceae
Source: RNAcentral
UGUUAGAGGGUCUUCUAAGUGU